Molecule: non-coding RNA, 68 nt
Organism: Ictidomys tridecemlineatus (thirteen-lined ground squirrel)
Lineage: Eukaryota; Metazoa; Chordata; Mammalia; Rodentia; Sciuridae
Source: Rfam
GGGGUUGUGGCUCAGUGGUAGAGCACUCGCCUCGCAUGUGCGGGACCCAGGUUCAAUCCUCAGCACCA